AGCGAGUUGUCUCUGGUGAUCGCA
RNAcentral lists this non-coding RNA (24 nucleotides) under Arabidopsis thaliana (thale cress). The record is from RNAcentral. Lineage: Eukaryota; Viridiplantae; Streptophyta; Magnoliopsida; Brassicales; Brassicaceae.